This 484-nucleotide ribosomal RNA is filed under the name uncultured bacterium. RNAcentral's name for it is "partial 16S ribosomal RNA". It matches the Rfam family "Bacterial small subunit ribosomal RNA", at positions 28 to 523 of the family's 1533-position model. The record is from RNAcentral.
GACGAACGCUGGCGGCGUGCUUAACACAUGCAAGUCGAACGAUGAACCCGGAGCUUGCUCCGGUGGAUUAGUGGCGAACGGGUGAGUAACACGUGAGUAACCUGCCCUUGACUCUGGGAUAACUGCGGGAAACUGUAGCUAAUACCGGAUACGACCCUCGGCGGCAUCGCCAGGGGGUGGAAAGAAUUUCGGUCAAGGAUGGACUCGCGGCCGAUCAGCUAGUUGGGGAGGUAACGGCUCACAAAGGCGACGACGGGUAGCCGGCCUGAGAGGGGGGCCGGCCGGACUGGGACUGAGAAACGGCCCAGACUCCUACGGGAGGCAGCAGUGGGGAAUAGUGCACAGUGGGCGCAAGCAUGAUGCAGCAACGCCGCGUGAGGGAUGACGGCCUUCGGGUUGUAAACCUCUUUUAGUAGGGAAGAAGCGAAAGUGACGGUACCUGCAGAAAAAGCACCGGCUAACUACGUGCCAGCCGCCGCCGUAA